Molecule: small RNA, 214 nt
Filed under: uncultured Acetatifactor sp.
Lineage: Bacteria; Bacillati; Bacillota; Clostridia; Lachnospirales; Lachnospiraceae
Description: Clostridiales-1 RNA
Rfam family: Clostridiales-1 RNA
Source: RNAcentral
GAUGCCAGGUUCUAAAGGUCUAAGCCCAUAUGAGUUUGCUCAUAGGUGGGUGAAAGACCUUGAGACCCGCCCCGAUAUGAGCAUAAAAGGGAAUCGUAAGCUUCACGAUAUGCGAAUAUCGGGCAGGGUGCUAUGUGCCAGUGGCACAUGUUUAGCACGGACCGAAGCGGAGCGUAGAAGUGAGAGUGCGUAGCACGAAACAAUCCGCAGGCAU